RNAcentral lists this ribosomal RNA (586 nucleotides) under uncultured Actinomycetes bacterium. Its description in RNAcentral is "bacterial SSU rRNA". It matches the Rfam family "Bacterial small subunit ribosomal RNA", at positions 9 to 606 of the family's 1533-position model. Lineage: Bacteria; Bacillati; Actinomycetota; Actinomycetes. The record is from RNAcentral.
GAGUUUGAUUCUGGCUCAGGACGAACGCUGGCGGCGUGCUUAACACAUGCAAGUCGAACGGAAAGGCCCUGCUUUUGUGGGGUGCUCGAGUGGCGAACGGGUGAGUAACACGUGAGUAACCUGCCCUUGACUUUGGGAUAACUUCAGGAAACUGGGGCUAAUACCGGAUAGGAGCUCCUGCUGCAUGGUGGGGGUUGGAAAGUUUCGGCGGUUGGGGAUGGACUCGCGGCUUAUCAGCUUGUUGGUGGGGUAGUGGCUUACCAAGGCUUUGACGGGUAGCCGGCCUGAGAGGGUGACCGGCCACAUUGGGACUGAGAUACGGCCCAGACUCCUACGGGAGGCAGCAGUGGGGAAUAUUGCACAAUGGGCGGAAGCCUGAUGCAGCAACGCCGCGUGCGGGAUGACGGCCUUCGGGUUGUAAACCGCUUUCGCCUGUGACGAAGCGUGAGUGACGGUAAUGGGUAAAGAAGCACCGGCUAACUACGUGCCAGCAGCCGCGGUGAUACGUAGGGUGCGAGCGUUGUCCGGAUUUAUUGGGCGUAAAGGGCUCGUAGGUGGUUGAUCGCGUCGGAAGUGUAAUCUUGGG